AAGUUAUAGCAAGGUUUCUGUAGGUGAACCUGGAAAGAUCAUUAUUGAAUAACUAUGGUGGGUUGUUGCUGGCUUCUGAAAGCAAGUGCAUACCUGCUGUCUUUAUCUAUCCCAUUGUGCACUAUUUGUAGUCUUGGAGAGGGGUUUGUGAAAAUUCUUUUGCUUCCCCUUGCCAGGUCUAUGUCUUAUUGUAGUAUGUCACAGAAUGUAAUAAACAAGGCUUUUGUGCCUAUAAAACUCUAUACAACUUUCAGCAACAGAUCUCUUGGCUCUU
RNAcentral lists this unclassified non-coding RNA (274 nucleotides) under Lepiota sp. RNAcentral describes it as "partial internal transcribed spacer region". Lineage: Eukaryota; Fungi; Basidiomycota; Agaricomycetes; Agaricales; Agaricaceae. The record is from RNAcentral.